GACGAACGCUGGCGGCGUGCUUAACACAUGCAAGUCGAACGGAAAGGCCCUGCUUUUGUGGGGUGCUCGAGUGGCGAACGGGUGAGUAACACGUGAGUAACCUGCCCUUGACUUUGGGAUAACUUCAGGAAACUGGGGCUAAUACCGGAUAGGAGCUCCUGCUGCAUGGUGGGGGUUGGAAAGUUUCGGCGGUUGGGGAUGGACUCGCGGCUUAUCAGCUUGUUGGUGGGGUAGUGGCUUACCAAGGCUUUGACGGGUAGCCGGCCUGAGAGGGUGACCGGCCACAUGGGGACGGGGAUACGGCCCAGACUCCUACGGGGGGCAGAGGUGGGAAAUAUGGCACAAGGGGCGGAGGCCGGAGGCAGAAAGGCGGGGUGGGGAAUGACGGCCUCGGGUUGUAAACCGCUUUCGCCUGUGACGAAGCGUGAGUGACGGUAAUGGGUAAAGAAGCACCGGCUAACUACGUG
RNAcentral lists this ribosomal RNA (467 nucleotides) under uncultured bacterium. RNAcentral's name for it is "partial 16S ribosomal RNA". It matches the Rfam family "Bacterial small subunit ribosomal RNA", at positions 28 to 507 of the family's 1533-position model. The record is from RNAcentral.